GUCUACGGCCAUGCUACCCUGAACAAGCCCAAUCCCAUUUGAUCUCGGAAGCAAGGCAGGGUAAGGCCUGGUUAGUACUUGAAUGGGAAACCGCCUAAGAAGAUCAGGUGCUGUAGGUG
RNAcentral lists this ribosomal RNA (119 nucleotides) under Pteropus alecto (black flying fox). Lineage: Eukaryota; Metazoa; Chordata; Mammalia; Chiroptera; Pteropodidae. The record is from RNAcentral.